This is a non-coding RNA of Sus scrofa (pig), 3124 nucleotides long. The record is from RefSeq and is a predicted model, not a curated record. NCBI's taxonomy places the organism in Eukaryota, Metazoa, Chordata, Mammalia, Artiodactyla, Suidae.
AUUUAGCCAAGAGAAAGGGAAGGAGGUGAAAUUCUGAACCGAGACUUUUUUUUUUUUUUUUUUUUGUCAUAAAACUUGGUGGGAUAGGCGAGACAGGUAUCAUUGCUAUUUUACAGAUGAGGAAGUUGAGAUUUGACCCUAGAAACCUGUAGAGGCAGACUUUGCAGCAGAUUCUUUGGAGAAACACUGGAAUGACCAGGCAUGUGAGCUGGGAUAUUAUUUCUGGCUGACAGUGAAACCUCGUCGACCUGAGAAAUUAACAAUAAUUGAGAAUAUUCGUAGUUUGUAACUAAUAGUUUUAAAACUAAUAGUGGCUGGAACGAAGUUUGCUGUUUAUGUCUUGCAAUCUCUCCAAUUACUUUCAGGCGAUAAACUUAUUUUUAUAGGCAUAGAGGAACUUCAGUGUGACUGUGCUGCCAACCACUCGGCUCUUGGUGAGAUGCAAUAUCAAAUAGUAUAGAUCUUUCACUUAGGAUAGAGUUUUGUCUGGAUAAGCCCAUCGUAAAUCAGAAAUACGUUAACACACCUAACCUAGGAACAUCAAGGCUUAAACCAGCUUACCUUAAAUGUGUUCAGAAUACUUAAAUUAGCCUACAGUUGGAUAAAAUCAUCUAAUACAAAGCCUAGUUUCUAAUAAAGUGUUGAAUAUCUUAUGUACUUUAUUGAAUAUUGUAUUGAAAGUGAGAGACAGAAUAGUUGAAUGGGUGCAGAAUGGUUAUGAGUUGUUUACUGGACUGCUACCUGGUAGCUGUGGUGGUUGCCACUGUCUAGCAUGAGGGAGUAUCCUGCUGCGUGUUCCUAGUCUGGGAAAAGGUCAAAAUUUAAAAGUUAGAAUAUGUUUUCUACUGAAUGUGUAAUCACUUUUGAACCAUCAGGAAAUCCUAAGGGGAACCAUUGUACAUCCAGGACCAUCUGUAGUAGAAAGCAGGAACUAACUCCAAAGUACUCAGAUUCAAAUUCUGACUCUGUCCUUGACUUGUUCUGUGACCCUGACCAAUAUAGCCUAUAUGCUUCACUUGUUCUGUGACCCUGACCAAUAUAGCCUAUAAGCUUCACUUUGCUCAUCUGCAAAAUAGCAAUGGUAAACCUAUUUAUCAUGAGGUACCUCGAAACUCCUGUUAGUACAUGUAAAAUUCUUAGAACACUGCCUGGCUUGGACUCAGCCACGAGUACAGUGUUCACAUACUAUUGUUUUGUUUCAUUGGCUUUAGAGUGAUAGGCAAUGUAACCCCUAUACAGGCUUCAUUCUUCUUUUCUCUCCUCUCAAGUGAGACAUCGUGGUCUCAAUUGGUACCACUUGCCAUCUGCACACUUAGUAAGUUACUUAUAUUAUUUGUGAGGGCCUCCUGUGUCCCAAGAAUUCAAGUACUGGAUAAACAGGAUGGACAAGAUCCUGUCCUGUAAGGAAUCUAUAUUCUCUUUGGAGGAGAAAAACAAAAGUUAUAUAAUUAAAUAUAACAAUUUCACGUACUAAAUACUAUCUGAAAAUGAGGAGGCUAGUUUAAUAGAGCUAGUUGCAGGAAAAGGUCACUUUGUAGAGGUGACAUUUGAGUUAAGUAAAUUUUUCAUGAUAAGAAGAAGCAGCCAUCGUAUCAUCUAUAGGAAAAGUGUUUCAAGCAGAAGGAGCAACAAGAGGCAAGACUGAUAUAGGAUGAGCUUGACGCUCUCUGGAGACAGGAUAUGUUAAGCAGGAGGGCAGUGAACAGAACUUGUGUGCACAGCCUCAGACAGCGGAUUGAUUUUCAAAAGAGGCAAGAGGAUUACAAGGUACAGGCCAUUUAAGUUCUUUGGCAACACAUAUUCAUGUUUACAGUAUAGCUUCACAUCAGAACUCCUGGAAGUUAAGUUUAUCAUUUAAAUCCUUGGGUUCUUUUCUUGGGCAUUUGCUAAUUUUCCUUUCGGAAAGGAAAUAAGCCUUUAUUGAAAUAGUCUGUCCUUUCAUGAGAAGCAGCUUGGUAGUGGAAAAAGAAUGGACUUUAUCUUCAGACAAACUUCAGCUCAAAUGGACUUUGGGUGAGGGUGGGGAGCAACAAAGCAGGCAUGGGGAUGGAGAACCCUAUCCUGCUACACACCAUGGAUGCCCAUAGACUGGGACCUGGAGCAGUGGUUCUGAGACUCACGAGGAGAUGAUGGAACUGGCCAAGCUCUUAUCUACAGUGAGUGUCCUUUCUGCCUUUUAAAAUUCUUGGAUUUCAUUUCUGGGGAUUUCCAGUAAUAUACAUAUUUAGGCAUAGAAAGAUCAUGUCUUAUUUCUGUGGAGUCAUUUAUAAUAAUAUGAACUAAUAUUCAGACCAGCUUAUGAGAUAAUAGAAAUAUGACCAGAAGCUAAAAAGCAUUAGGAGCAUCUAAUAAAUAUAAUGCUAUUUUGUGGCAGCAAUAUUAUUUUAAAUACAAAUUCUAUUGAGAGUGGAAAAUGAAGAUUUAUUAAUAUUUAUAAAUCCAUUUAAGCUGCCCAGAUAAAUGGAUAAUCUAAAUAGUUAUAGUUAGGAAGGCUGAAGUGGGUUUGAGCUUGUUGACAUAAAGCCCUCAUUCCUUGGCCUCUUUUCUCAGCAUUUUGCAGGCAAACACUGGCUCAUUUGAAGUAUUGACCUUCAAGGUUUCAAAAAAAAGAGCUGAGGUAUAUAUAAGCAGAAGGUGUGUUUCUUAAAAUUUGUUUCAAUUUUGACACUCAGAAGAAAAAGUCAUUAAAUUGAUGGUCAUGCAAGAAAUUCCCCUGUGAAUUGUAUAUCAUGGGGGAGGGAGGGGUUGAGAAUGCAGGCUCUGGAGCCAAACUCAGAACCACUUGCUAGGUGUGUGGCCUUGGGUAGGUCACUUCACCUCUCUGUUGGCUUCAGUGUCCCAUCUUGUAAUGGCUUAGAUAUCUGAAUGGCAAUGUGCCAAGUGGCACAGGCCUUUCCUUCCAAAUACCUUAUUGAUUAUGAAUGCUUAACAUAUGCAAAGUGUGUCAGUAUUGCUUUAUUUACCUUAUCUACAAGCAGCUAUUAACCACUAUGCUUUGCUGAAAUAAGGAGAUUUACUGGAAAACCAGUAGACAUUAAUAGAAUAGAAAAGAGGCAGGAGGCUGAGGUUAGGAAAAAGGCAGGAGUCAAGGAUGCUAUGAGCAGGCAGUAAGAGCUAUGCCUGU